AGAGUCGAUUGGACAGUCGCUGCCUCUUGUUGUUCCGCAACAAGGGGGGGAGGAAAGUCCGGGCUCCAUAGGGCGGAGUGCCAGGUAACACCUGGGAGGCGCGAGCCUACGGAAAGUGCCACAGAAAAUAACCGCCUAAGCACCUCGGUGCCGGUAAGGGUGAAAAGGUGCGGUAAGAGCGCACCGCACGUCUGGCAACAGUUCGUGGCAAGGUAAACCCCACUCGGAGCAAGACCAAAUAGGGUUCCUGGGCGUGGCCCGCGCUGGAACCGGGUAGGUUGCUAAAGACGUCCAGUGAUGGCCGUCGUAGAGGAAUGACUGUCCUCGACAGAACCCGGCUUACAGAUCGACUCUCCAC
Molecule: RNase P RNA, 358 nt
Filed under: Pseudomonas syringae pv. actinidifoliorum ICMP 18803
Lineage: Bacteria; Pseudomonadati; Pseudomonadota; Gammaproteobacteria; Pseudomonadales; Pseudomonadaceae
Also listed under: 2 other names
Description: RNase P RNA component class A
Rfam family: Bacterial RNase P class A
About the family: Ribonuclease P (RNase P) is a ubiquitous endoribonuclease, found in archaea, bacteria and eukarya as well as chloroplasts and mitochondria. Its best characterised activity is the generation of mature 5'-ends of tRNAs by cleaving the 5'-leader elements of precursor-tRNAs. Cellular RNase Ps are ribonucleoproteins.
Source: RNAcentral